RNAcentral lists this long non-coding RNA (14505 nucleotides) under Brassica rapa (field mustard). RNAcentral describes it as "long non-coding RNA (BRAP_LNC006866)". The record is from RNAcentral. Lineage: Eukaryota; Viridiplantae; Streptophyta; Magnoliopsida; Brassicales; Brassicaceae.
GAUGGACCGGAAGAAGAUGUACCGGAACCAUCGCCAAACAACUGCACAUAAGUAGGUGCUGCUGAUUUCCUCCUAGGAGCCAUCUAAAAAAAUUAAAAUAAAUUUAAUCAAUUACGACAUAAUUAAAAAAUUAUUCCGUUACCUAACUAAUCACCUAAACUAGUAUUCCGUCACCUAACUAAUCACCUAACUAAUUACCUAACUAAUCACCUAAACUAAUUACCUAACUAAUUAAUCACCUAAACUAACUUUAAAAAAAAAAAAAAAGAGAGAAGAAAGUUUACCUUAGAGGGAGAGCAAAGGAGUUUGGGAGGAAUGAACGAGGUAGCCUAGCUCUCGGCGUCUCAAUAUAUAGAUAACGAUUCGUCGUAAACGCGACGUAAUAUUACGACGAAGUUACCAGGCCCGCGUUUUUCCAUUUACGACGAAGCUACCAGGCCCGUGUUUUUCCAUUUACGAACGAAAUUACCAGGCCCGUGUUUUUCUGUUUACGACGAAAUUACGUUGAAUAGGUUUACCAAGCUUUUCCAUUUACGACGAAGUUACCAGGGCCGCGUUUUUUUUCAUUUACGACGAAUUUACCAGGCCCGUCUUUUUCCAUUUACGACGAAAUUACCACGCCCGUGUUUUUCGGUUUACGACGAAAUUACGUUGAAUAGGUUUACCAGCUAUUGUUGUAGUUGUUUCUAAAAAUGCAUCACUAAUAAUAUCUUGAACCCUAUCAUGAUUUACCAUCUGCUCCUCUUGAUGAUAAUUAUAUUCAUUAUGCACAUGAUUCGGUUCUUCAUUAUGAUGAGCAUCCUCAAAAUUAUUAUUACUACUACUAGCUUUAUUUCCCCCAUAACCCUCUCCAUGUUGAUACCAAAUGUAGUACUGUGGUGUAAAUCCUCUGUUUACUAAAUGAUUCCAUACAGUUUCACUACGUGCAAAUUUUGAAUUCUUACAUUUUUGACAGGGCAUAACAUCUUACCGCUUUCCUGCGUGAUCGGUGUACCCGCCUGGUGCAUGAAUGUCUCUAGCCCGUUCAGAAAUGCGUUCGUCACCCUCGCAUCGGAAUCUUUGUGCAAAUACAUCAAACUCCGUAACUCGUAAAUAUUACCACCACCGGCCAUUUUUUUCUUAGAUUUUUUUUUGAAAAUUUUUUUUUGCUGAUUUUUUUUUCCGUUUGUGUGUUGUGAGGAAGAGAGUUGUGGGAAAAUGACAUUAUAUAUAGAGAAUUUUUGAGUUGGGUAAUUGAAAUAUAACAACGAUUUUAAAAGGAAUGUUUUACAUGGAUUUUACAUGAUUUUAACAUAAUAUUUACAACGACUUUACAACGAAUUUAAGUAAGUAAAAGCACAUUAAAUACACGUUUUCACCUAAAUAUAACGGUAACAUGAUUUGUUGUAAUGUCGAUGUAACGUUUACGACUAUUUUCGCUUUCCACGUACUUUCGUCAUAAACUUACAUGGACUUUACGACGAAACAGUUUCAUCGUAAAAGUUCCAUGGAGUUUACGACGAAUUUUGGUCUCGUCGUAAUUGCGUUGUAAACACCUUGCAAAUUUUCGAGGAAUUAUUUUCGUUGUAAAUCUUCGUUGUUACUGAUACGUUUUCUUGUAGUGAGUUGCAUUUUGAUGUAUACAUUGGAAAAGAGAAAUUCUGGGUGGAAGACGCGGUUAGAAAAAGUAUAGUUUCAAUGGAUCAACUGUACAUCGAAUAAUCCUGCAGAUAAACUGGCGAAAGAGAGAAUACAAGACUCUAAGUUGUUCUUGUUUCAUAAUUAUUUUCCAAUGUUUAUUAAUGAAGUACAUUCGGGGUUAAUAAAUAAAAUGAAGUGUUAUAAAAAAAAAAUAAUAUAUGUUUCUUGAGGACAAAGUACCCAGGUGAAGAGGACGGUUACAGUUUGAUAAAACAUGGACUGAACAUGAUGGUUUACUAGACUCCAUUAGUAAAGGCUGGGAUGAAUCAGGAGAAGGAAAUAAUGCAAAUUUUGUCACAAAACUUAUUAAUUACCGUCAUGAAAUUUAUAGAUGGAGAAAAAACAAUCUCUUUAUGUGAAAGAGAGGAUCAAUGAACUACAAAGGAUAUUGGAAGAAGUCCAACGAAUGACAAUAUAACUCAAGAGAAAAUUGUGGAUGUCAUAAAAAAGCUACAAGAAGUGUACAAAGAUGAGGAACAAUAGUGGGACCUGAAGAGUCAGAACAUGUGGUACGCGUCAAGGGAUCUUAACACCAGAUUUUAUCAUAUUGAAACAACAGCAAUCUAAAAGUAGAACUGUGAGUUUACAUGAUGAAGGUGGACCGUGGAUAACAAAGGAUAAAGACGUUGAAAAAGUAGUAGUGGAAUAUUUAAAGAUUUAUUCAGCUCCAUAUUAUCCUCAAAGUUUGAAAAUUUUCAAAUGUGAUCCGACCAAGCAUUACUUCUUAGAUAAACCAUGUGCUGAUUAGGAAUGUGACAUAUGAUGAAAUAAGAAAAACAUUAUUCUUGAUGCAGUCAGAGAAACACACCAGUCCAGACGGCAUGACACGCUUUUCUUUCAGCAACUCAUGGCCUAUCAUAAAAAUGAAUUGUCUUGAUCUGGUGAAUAUUUUUUUGAGAAAAGGAAAAUUGAAUGCUAGGUUGAACAUUACAAAUAUAUAUUUGAUUCCAAAAACACAGAGACCUACCAAAAUGACAAAACUGCGACUGAUAAGUCUAUGUAAUAUAAGAUAUAAAAUCAUUUCCAAGGUAUUGUGUCAAAGGUUAAAGUGAUGUCUUCCAAUACUUAUAUCGGAAACACAAUCAAUUUUCAUGGCAGGAUGAUUGAUCUCGGGCAACGUAAUGAAAUCUUUCAUGGUAUACGAACCAAUAAAUCUUGCCAAAGCAAGUUCAUGACAAUCAAAACAUAUAUGAGUAAAGCGUAUGAGAACUUCCCUAUGCAGUCGAUUUUUGCAAAUGUGGACUACUUGUUCUAGAGGACUACACCACAUGUGGAUAAUCAUCAUUUCACAUGGAUUUUAUGGCAAUAAUAUGGUUUUUCAGCAUCAUACAUGUCAACCCUAGAGAUACUCUUCAAUUGGUAGAAUCAGAAUCAACACUUUGGAAUGAGGCACAUGCAGCACUAAAACAAACGGCCACCCAACCUAGAGAGGAGGAAUUGUCAAUCUUACCUCAAAUAUCAGGUCGAUUGUGUUUCACGAAUAGUUCAUGGAAGAUACGAAUAAUCACUAGGACAAAAUGGUAUAAACACAUUAUACAAAUUUCUGUCCAUUUAAUCCAAGCUAGGUUGAUGGAAUGGGCGAUGGUCCAAAAAACGGUAGGAGGAAUGGAAGAGGUCGAAUAAUGAAUUUAUGUCCCUUUAAUCCAAGCUAUCCUGAAAUAAAAGAAGAACAACGAGUUUAUGAAUGAUAAAAUAAGAACACAAACUAAAAGAUAUAAAGGAUGGAAUGGUUAAUGGAUAGAUGUUUGAUGAUCGAUGAUGGAGAUGGUAUGGAUAGAUGAUUGACUGUCUCCAUAUGUGGUAUUGAUUGACUCUAUCAAUCUGUGAUAUCAAGGCUGAUGAAUAUCUCAAGCAACCUAUAGAACCACGAGCUCAGUAGACUACUAAUGCUUCUCACACUUAAGAGUCUAAAGAACACUUAAAGAACACUCUUUGAAAAGACAAGGUUUUUGCAUACUAAUUUUAUUGAUUGAAAGGUGGUUUGUACAGUCGAAAAUGAGCUUAUAUAUUGCUCAGAAAUCUAAGUCUAACGACCAUAAAGAGAAAAUAAAGAAAACAAUCAAAAACUAAGCAAGACAUCGAAAACUAGCCAUUAGAGCAUGUUGUAGGAUUUGGCUCUAAGUAAAUGAUAUACCUUGGAUUUGACUCGUUUUCAUCCAUGGUAUAUAGGUGUUUUACUAUAUAUAUAUCUAUGUUUUCUACUCUUCUAGGUAUGUUUUCAAGUUCAGGUGCAUUUCGGAGUAAAGCUAUGACUUUGGAGCAUUUUGGAGCUUAAAGGACAUUUCACCCGAGCUGACCAUGUAGAGGUCGACGAGAGGAAGAGAUAAUCGAUCGAUGCGCAUCAGUGCUGUCGAUCGACACCAAGAGAUGCCUCGACAGAUGAAGAUUAAUAUCGAUCGAUGUACACAAGUACCAUCGAUCGAUGUCGAGACAUUGGACACGCGACAUUUUGGAUCCAUCGGACUUAAAACCCAAGGCCAAGCCAAAUUAAGAAAAUGCCCUGACGAGUUUUUAACCUAGUAGAUUCUAUACUGCCUAAGUGUUUUGACGGCAGAGGAGAGCUUUUGUUACAGUUUUACUUUGAGAGAGAAGAGAGAGUUUUGGAGAGAAGAUCACUUUUGAUUGGAACUCCUUGUUUUCAUUUCUUUUCAUCUAUACUAUGAAUUUCCAUUUCUUUAUUGUUAUUAAUUGCUUUGCUAUGUCUCAGUAGUUCAUUUAUUAGAUCUAGGGUUCAUAUAGGUUUGUGGGAUUAGCCCUAAAUUAUAGAUCUGCCUUGUUGUGAUAUUCAUGAUAGAUUUAUAUUCAUUGCUUGUUUUAGCCUUGCUAACUAGAACUUGAUCAUAGGAUUGCAUACUCAAGCACCCUUGUUAUCCCAUCCUGACAUCAUCUAUCAUAUUAGGACUGCUAGAGAGGGCUAACCGCCAAUUUAGUAUCUUAAUAGGGCAUAUCAUACUCGCGCAUAGGCCUUGGUUAGAAUCCGUCGAUCGAUGUCCUCAACUGACUAUCGGUCGACGUAGGCAAAGGUGUAUCGGUUGACAUCCCAAUAGGACCAUCGUUUGACACUCUCUUGUGUCAACAUACUAACCGUUGAGACACGAGAUCUAGCUUGUUAACCAGUGAAACAUGCGACUGCUGAUCACUGAGUUAAGCGGUUGAGCUCUAACAUAUCAUGCAUGCAACAAUUAGGCAUCUAUAGGUAUUAUAAUCUCCAACACCUGAAUAGUGGCCCUGCNNNNNNNNNNNNNNNNNNNNNNNNNNNNNNNNNNNNNNNNNNNNNNNNNNNNNNNNNNNNNNNNNNNNNNNNNNNNNNNNNNNNNNNNNNNNNNNNNNNNACAGACGAGAUCAUCUAAAGAAAACAGCAAGAGAGAAAGAUGACCACAGCUGAUUACGUGAAGACAGCUUAGCCACUGUCCUCGUACCUUAUUCCAGACACACACUGAAACCAGACAAACGCAGACAGAAACCAAAUUUUAAACCAGGCUUAAAAAAAGGAGCAAGUAUCACUCUUCUUCGGACUCGGACUCCGCGUUCUUGAGCCAUUCGAUAAAAGGACUCACGUUCUUCAUCACCGGCGAGCUUUUGAUGCCUUUAUCGUACCAUCCAAAAUGACAUCUUCCUCCAAAAGGUCUUCAUCAUAAAAACCCUUGAUAACAAGAGCGACUUCUUUAGCAGCCUCUGAAUUAGCUUUCUCGCAGAAAGAUUCUAUUGCGUUAAGCAAAACCAUCUGCCGAGGAGCUCCAUCAUCUUCUUGCAUCAUCAUCAACGCCACGAGAUAUUUCUUCUUCUUGAGAGUUUCUUUAGCGAAUCCCUUCCCUUGGCCAGCAAAAAGAGCAGAGAACAAGGCGUCCAUCCUCUCCUGAGGAGUGGCGGAGUUUGACGAUAUGGCGGUUCUGAGUUGGGAAGGAGUUGAACCGUUGUUAAGAAGCUCUUUUAUCUCACUCACAAGCUUUUCAUGAGCAUUUUCAGGGAUCUUGCCAUGGCCAUUCUCAUGUAGAUUCUUCAGUGGCUGCUGCACUUCAAGCGACUUCUUCUCCACAACUGCUGGCGUCUUCUCUUCCAUCGUAGUCAGCAUCACCAUAUCUGCUGUUGCAGCGCUGAGCUGUUCUUUCAUUCGUUUUUCAGCAGCCUCCCGCGAUGUAUCUGUUUUGCCCACUGGACAUCAUCAUCAUCAUCUUCUUCUUCUUCACUGUCCGCUUGCUCAUUUUCAUCAGACUGGCUUGGAGGUGGGGAAUGAUCUUUCUUCUUCAAAACUUUCUCUUUCGAACUACCAGCAGUUGAUUUCUUCUUAGAGGCAGCCUCCUUCUUAAGUUUUCUUCUAUCUCCUCAUCAGCCGCUUCACCUUCCUUCAGCCUUUCUUCUCAGCUCUCCUCAUAGAUUUCUUGUCUUUCGAAGAUUUCUUUUGUUCUGGAGGAUGCUUCAGAAUAAAAGCAGUGAGUUUGUCCCUCAUAUCGACAUCCGAGAUAAACCCACAAGCCGCACAUUUCAGCUGGAGCAUCUGCGUCUUGGUGAUAAGUAUCUCGGUUUCGGGGUUUCCGCAUCCAUAACACUGGACAUACUUUUUGAUAAAGUUCUCAAGAAGCCCCGCAAGCUUGGAAGUGUCGUGGGCUCCGUUAACCAAUGAGGUUCCCGUCUUCUCAUCAAACUUGGACUGCGCACCCAGCUCACAGCCAAAGUACUUGGUGGUGUAAGCAGCAGGUCUCCCCAAGGCCUUGGCGAUUUCAACCAUGUUAACAACAUUAGUCUUGAUGCCGUUACCUCUACCUUCGAUCUUGGUCAUCAUCCUCCUCGGCAUCUUGUACCUGUAGAAGGCAUCGUCACGGUUGGAGGCACCAAUGUUUUGUAAAGCCAUUUUGAUUUUGAUUACAAAAUAGUGUGGGGGUGGGGGGGAAUGUCAGAAGAGACAGAGAUACUGAACGCUGGAACUGCUUGUGUUGUUCAAGGCCUCGAAAGAAGAUCCAAGACGAGUGGACUUCUUCCUGGAAGUAGGACAGUACUCUCCUAAAAGCUGUAUAGACGAUUGAAAGAGAGAAGCCUGUUCAGACAUAAAAGAUUCUUCACACUCCACUUUCGACAAAAUGUAAAACCCCAGCAGCUUUAACUGCCAACUUCCUGUAAACACACAAUAAAGACAAAGAUUCAGCCGCAAAUGAAUAAACAAACAUACGGAUAUUUAUGCGUUUCAAUUAUAAACAACAAGGCACAGAGAUCUAACCGGAAAAUUCAUAAAUCUUGAAACACACACAACACACAAAAAUUUCAAAGAAGCAAUAACAGGAAGGAAACAAAGAAAAGUUCCGAGAUUUACAAUAUAAAAAGACACUACAUCAUCAUCAAAUCAAAUACAUAUCAUCAACAUACACAAUUAAACAACGCCCCACCCUUGUCUCAAUGAAACAAUCAAUUUCUAACGAUUCCAAUAAAAAAAAUUCUUGAGAAUAACUAUGGGCCAUUCAAAUUGAAUCUCUAUACUCCAGAUUUUUCGGAUAACAAUCGGAUCAGAUUGUUUGAUUAAUCAAAUAUUAAGUUAAAUCGUAAUCGCAAAGUAGUAUCAGCAGCACACGAACCAAGUACCUCGUAAGAUGGACGAACGAAAAGCUACGAUUGUCUCUCGUGCGUUUGAGAGAGGAAGAUGAACGCUUGCGCCGAUGAAAGAAUGAGAAAAGGCACUUAAGCUAGAAACGUUUUCUGUGUAUUUAUAUAUAAAUGACAAAGGAAGGAGGCUGGAAACGCGUGAUUGUGGUUCAUCCUUUAGGGCAAACUCAUCGUGUCGUGUCCAAUUAUUUAUUUGUUCUCUUUCCACAAUUUUUUUUAUCUAUAUCCAUUUUUUUUUUUUUUCGUUUUCUAUUUCAAUUAAUUAUUUUACUGACCAAUAAUGAUCUACAAGAACGUCCAAUUCAGCAUUGAAAAUCAACUAAUUAACAAGAGUUUUAACGUACAUCUGUGUAGAUAUUUUCAAUAUUAUAUUUUGUUUUAUAUAUUAUGUAACUCUUUAAUUUUGUUGUUUUCUUAAAUUUUUAAUAUAUAGUGAUUGAUUUUAAUAAUUUGUUAUUAAUUAUUUAAAUUUUUGAAAUCGGUAUAAUAAAUACAUAAUUUGAAAAUAAUCAAAUAGAUUAUUUUAUUCAAAAUAUAUUUUUAAAACUAAAUUCUACAAUUUGCAUAAAAUUUAUUUAUUUAUAUUAUAGAAAGGAUAUUCAUUUAGGAUAAUUUAUUAUUUCAUAUUUUGUUUAUAAAAAAUAUUUUAACAUCUAUCAAUUCAAUAUACUAUGCGAAUUAUAAAUAACUAUAUUGUUCUGUUUAAAUAAUAUAACUCUAUUUUUUUAGUAAUUUUUAUACUUAGCAGCAUUUACGAGAAUACUUUAAAAAAAUUUAUCGAUAUAUAACAAUUUUUUGGAUGUUAUGGUAUUAAGUUUUCGGAUUCUUUGUUGGGUUUUUUUUUACAACAAACAUUUACAAAUUCAUGUUGAUUCUGUAAACCAAAUUGGUAACCCCGCAUCCAUGUGAACGACGAAAGACGGUUGUUUUCUAGAAUUGCGUGCUAAGCUAUCCGCCCAUAGGUUGUCCGUCCGAGGUACAUAAACGAUGUAUGAGUUUGGGAAACUUCUUUUUAAAAGCUUAAUGUCUUCCAAGUAACUUUCAAAUGCUGACCAUUCUUCUAGUUCCGAAACCAUCUUCACCAAUUGAGAACAAAUUAAUGCCUCCACAUCUGAAUGAAGAGGUGAAAGACAAUGCCCUUACAUUCCUUGCCCCUAAUAAACCAUCAAAACCCGAUAAAGUACUAUACCAGCCUUGCACUGAAAAUAAAUCCAGAUCUUUCUAUGAACCAUCUAUGAAGCACCAUCGUUCCGAAGUCGGUAUUGUGGGUCCGGUUUGUACCUGAUGCUCUCUCGUUUGAUCCUUUACUACAUGUGCCUCAGUCCAAACUGUUGAUUCCAAUUCUGUUAUUUUAAGUGUGUCCCUUUGAUCAAUAUCCAGAUUGCUAAACACUUUGUUAUUCUGACCUUACCAUAUAUACCAUAAUAUCUAUGCAAAUUGGUGGUCAUCCAUCCUUGAAUUGACUCUCCAAAAAAGAUGAUCCAUGUUAGCGAAAAAAACUAAUAGGAAAAAUAUUGGGAUUUGAUGGUAUCUUAGAUAAAACCCACACUUCAUGUGCUGGAGGAUAUUCAGAAAACACAUGGUUUAUUGAUUUUUCCUGAUCUCCGCAUCGAGCACAACAUAUAUCCUCUUAUAUUCCUCUCGCUUUUAGAUUUUUCAUUACCGCUAUACAUCCUGAAAGGAUUUGCCAUAAAAAAAUGUUUUAUCUUCGGAGGACACCGCACUUUUCAGCAUAAAUCUUUUAGUAUAUCCACUGUAAGACCAUUAAAUUAUAGUGGAUUUUUUUUUUAUCAGGAUAGACCCGUUCCACUUGAUAACCUGAUUGAACCGAGUAUUUCUCAUUGUUAGUGAAAUGCCAUCAAUUCUUAUUUUCCAUCUGAUUUCUAUUUAAAGGGAUACUUUCAAUAAUUUUUACAUCAUGAGGAUCCACCAAAGUCUUGAUUGCCUGUAAAUUCCAUGAUCGGGAUUCCGAGUUAAUGAGAGAAUCCACUGUGAGGUCCGACUAACUGUUUGAAGGUUUUUGUUUGCUGGUCUCGGGCGAGUGGUUGGGAUCCAAGGAUCAUUUCAUACUGAAUAAGAUGAACAUGUUCCCACUCUUUUAAUUAGUCCUUUACAAACCAAAAAUCUUGCAGAAAUAAUACUCCUCCAGCCAUAUGACGGGGAGUAUGAACGGAUAGGUUCUAGGGGUGAAGCAUUCUUAUAGUACCGUCCUUUGAAGACUCUUGAAAAAGAGUAUUUGGCUUCUCAAUCAGCCUCCACAACUGCCUUCCAAGCAUCGUCGUGUUAAAAUCAAUAAGAUCCUUAAAGCCUAGUCUACAAUUAUCUUUAGGUAUGCAUAAUUUAUCCCAAUGCAUGCAUGUUGUGCUUCCUCCUGGACUCCACCGAAAUUGAGCUACUGCACUCGUUAACUUUUUAAUUGUAGCCUUUGCUAACCAAUAAACAGACAUCACAUGGUUUGGCAAGACCAUAAUCACCGAUUUAAUAAUCAACUCUUUUCCUCCUUUAGUAAAAAAUCAAAAAGUCCAUCCACUAACCUUAUUAUUCAAGCGGUCUUGUACAAAGCCAAACACCUUAGAUCAUUCAAGGCUUUCUGGUAAACCUAAAUAAGAUCCCAUUCCUCCUAUAUUCUGGAUUCCCAAAAUAUCUCUCAAUUUUUGAUGACUGGAUUCUUCAAUUUUAUGUCCAAAUUGAAUUGAAGAUUUCUGGGAAUUAAUUUGUUGCCCUAAGACGGUCUCAUAUUCCUUUAAAAUCCUGGGAAUGGUUUGACAUUCCUCCUUCUUUGGCUUACAAAAGAAAAAACUAUCAUCUGCAAAUAGCAAAUGAGAGAUUGUUGGACAAGCUCUUGCUACCUUCACACCAGUUAAUUAUUUCACUAUCUCCGCUUUCUUAAUAUUCAUAAUUAAUGCCUCAAUGCACAUAAUAGAUAAAUAAGGAGACAAAGGAUCCCCUUGAUGUAAGGGAUAUACAUUCCAGCAUUAAAUUGAUCCAACGAGGAUCCAAUCCCAUUUUAUGAAGAAGAGCCUCAAUAAAAAAUAUCCGUUUUGAUUGCCAUAAACUUGUUUUGACAAGACUUAUGUGUUCUCAGUCCAUGAAACAUUUCCUGCGCUAUAAAAAUAUUAUCCGAUAUUAACCUGCCCGCCACAAAAGCCGAUUGUGUCUCCGAGAUUAGUCGUGGUAGGCAAACUUUCAAUCUUUGACACAAAACUUUCGAGAAGAUCUUGUAACCAACAUUACAUAGACUUAUUGGCCUCAGUUAUGUCAUCCUUAUAAGUCUCUCUAUUUUCAGAAUCAAGCAAAUAUUAGAAAUAUUUAAACGUGGAUCCAUAUUUUCUCUAACCAGAAAAUUAUUCACCAUCUCAACCACAUCCUUCUUAAUAACAUGCAAGGAAUGCUGAAAAAAGAGAGUUGUCAUUCCAUCCGGACCUGGCGCUUUCUCCGGAUGCAUCAUGAAUAAAUCUUGUUGAACCUCUUCCUCCGUUGCUAUUCUUAAUAAUAUUUGAUUAUUUGUCAUUAAAUUAAGAUUUGAAAAUAUAAUAUUUUUUUUUUAAUUUUUACAAAAUAAUUUAUUUUUAAUGUUGUAUUUUUAAAGAAUAUACUUUAGCAUCUAUGAUUUUAAGCUUUGUAUAAUUUGAAAUAUUAACUUUUGAGUUUAGAAUAUUUAUUUUCAAAAUUGUGUAUUUUGUCAAGAAAAAAUUAGAAAACUACAAAACUAUAUUUUAGAAGAUUAUAUGACUUUUAAAUUUUUUUUUGUUACUACAUUUAUUCACUAUUUUAUAAAAACAUAUUUGAAUUUUUGUUAACAUUUUUAAUAUUUUAAUAAAAAUAAUCUGUUAUAAUUAAAAUAAACAUUAAAUUUUAAAUUAAAAUUUCAAAAUUUCUAAUAAAAUGUUUAGUAAAUAAAACAUCAAGUAAAGGUUAGUUACAUAUUAUAUUUUGUAUAUAAUAAUUUUGAGAUCAUAUAUUUUUACAGUUUCAAAAUAAAUAAGAAGCUAAUAUAUAGUUAUAGUUAUAAAAGUCUAACUUAUGCUAAUAAAUUUAUCUUUUGUAUAGAGAUAUUACAUCGUUUAAAAAUUUAACCCGCUUUAAUGGUGAAUGAGAAUCUGUUUAAUGGAACUAUUAAAAAGGUUAAUUUACCAAUUUAAUAUAAUUUUUUAUAUUUAAUUCAUAUAACACAUUAUUUUAAUAUAAUAUAGACUAUAAUUAUAAAAUUUAUUAAAAUAUCAUAAAUAAUUAUUUGCUUUUAUAGUAAAAUUUUAAUUAAUAUUAAUUUAUAAUAAUAUUAUAAUACUAAUUACAAAGUUAAUUAAUAUAUUAUUUUAUUAAAAUUAUUUACAUUUUCGCAUGAUUUUGUUAGAUUUUCUCAACAGCUUUUGUUAUAACUAAAAAUAAAAUUUAAAUUUUUAAUAACAAUUAAUUAAUUAUUAAAAAAUUUUAGAAAUAUUAUAUAUUUGAUUGGUUAAUGUAAAUAAUAAUAUAUGUUAGAUGGGUCAUACGUGACAACUCUAGGGUGUAUAGAGGUGCUGUUUAAGCUACUGGGAAACAAGUUAAAAAUGCUUUGGAGUGUGAACUGCAUGCAGGCAAUAUUGACUGCUUUGCAACAUGCUUGGAGUAGUGAACACAUGAACGUUAUUGUCGAAAGUGAUUGUCAAAAAGCUAUUGAGAUAUUGAAUAAUAUGAAGUCACUACAAGAAAACAUAUUUUUUACAAGGGCAAUAUACGUUGUAAAUUCGUCGUAAACGGAGUGUUACGACGAAUUAACCUCGAAAGACGUUUCGUCGUAAAACUUCCGUCGUAACGGAGGUUUCGUCGUAAACAACUUGUUACGUUUACGACGAAAUAUAUUCCUCGUAAAGCGCAGGGCAUCGUUUCAUCGUAAAAGAGACGUAAUAUUCCGUGGUAAAGUCCACGUAACGGUUUCGAUGUAAAGCAGACGUAAAUAUUUUCGUUGUAAAGAACACGUAAACGUUUCGAUGUAAAACCCUCGUAAAUCUUUCGACAUUAAUCACUCGUAAACAUUUACAUGGAGUUUACAUCGAUUCUUAUUAAUAUAUAAUAAAUUUGAAUAAUUUUUUUAACCUCAAAUAUAAAUUUGAAUUUAUUUAAAAUUCAGAACUUAAAAUAAUUUUAAUUUUAAAACGAAAUAUGAAAAUAAAAACAUAUUUUAAAAAAGCAUUUAAAAGUCAUACAAUAAUAUUUAAAUUCAUAAUACAAACCGAAAUAUAAAAAAAACUACAUAUCAUCGAAGUAGUCGGUGGGGUUGCUCGGCUGUUGACGGGUUGGAUCGGACUCUUGGGGAUCUCGUACUAGCAACCCAAGAGCGGCGCGUCUCUCACUCAACAUUCUCUAAAUAACCGGGUUUCCCACGGCCAUCACGUCUAGCAAAUCCUCAAGAGAGUCUAAACAACCUGCUGGCUAUCCAUUCGAGCUUUCAUCUGAGAAGUCUCUUCAUCCCGUCUCGAAGUGUAUGACGAAGUUGCCCUUGCAACUUCGUUAACAGAGCCUAUACCGACUAUCCGUCCCUUCUCUUUAGGAGCCACCUAUAAAAUUAAAACAUAUAUUAAUAUAGUUAAUUAUGUUAAAAUAUUAAAAAUAAUGUAAACAAAAAUUUUAAGUUGUACCUCUUCGAAGAUUCUGUCGGCGUCUUCGGUGGACAAUGUGACGGGUAAUCCAUCGGGAGACUCUUGGGUUAGUUGCGUCUCCCGUUCUUCAAUCCGAGAAGCCAUUGCUUGGAAGAGUUUCUCAGAUGCAGGAUCCACAAAAACUCCGUCGGAUGUGGCGUGAGUCAUCUUCAAUAGGUCAGACAGAGAUGGUAAGACUCCCGUCUUCUCAAACUACAAAAAAAAAUUAAAUUAAAUAUUAAAAAUUAAAUUAAUUGAAAAUUUUAAAAUAAAUAUUUAAAACAAAAUUUACAGCUUCUAGACGGAUUCCUGCAUGAGGUUUUUGUCCUGUUCUGUGAAUCAUGGGCAAAUGACCAUCUUUAUCCUUCAUUCUUCGAGAAACCGAGCACGAAUUGGCCUUUUCGAUCAAAGAGGGGUGCUUCCAAUAGGCGAUGAGGCCAUCCCACACAUCCUUCGUGAGCUCAGUGGGCUUUCCCUCAUACCCGUAGAUCUCCCACUUGUCCUUCCAAUCGGAGACUGUGUUGCAGAGGCGGAUCUUUGUCUUUGCAACGAAUUCCGCCUUCACCCUCUCAGUGAUUCCCAAAGACCAAUGCCACUUUUGCUGAAACACAAAAAUUUUGAAGAAAUUAUAAUUAAUAAUAAAUAUUUAAAAAAUAUAUAUAUAUUUAAAAGUGGAAAUUUAAUUAAAUUUAAAAAUCUUACCGCAAAACAUUUAAACCAAGUGAUCUUAACGUGAUUUAGUGUCUUGCUCCAGUUCGGAUAUGCCCCAUCGUAAUAACCCUUAAUCGUCUUCGAAACGCUCUGGCUAACACGGUUGUUAGCCCCAAACCUGAAAAAAAACAAUAUAACCGUUAGAAAAUAAAAAUAAUUUAAAUUUUAAUGUAAUAAAAAUUAAUAACUUACCAAUAAGUUCCUCGGGGUCUAUCGGGGUCUAGAACAUCCAAACCCUCCCCACCAGGCUGGACAAGCAAAUCCUCCACCGUAUAUCUCGCGAAUGGGGCAUAUGAAGGCACACGCAAAUCCGGAUGAACUGCACCUUCUGGGACAGGCUGAGGUGCAGCCGCUGGAGGAGGAGGUGGAGGCAUCUGCGGUGGAGGAGGAGGACUCCAAGCAACUCUCUGAGAAGGCUGAGAGUCUGGAACUGCAUCGGAAGACGAUGGACCGGAAGAAGAUGUACCGGAACCAUCGCCAAACAACUGCACAUAAGUAGGUGCUGCUGAUUUCCUCCUAGGAGCCAUCUAAAAAAAUUAAAAUAAAUUUAAUCAAUUACGACAUAAUUAAAAAAUUAUUCCGUUACCUAACUAAUCACCUAAACUAGUAUUCCGUCACCUAACUAAUCACCUAACUAAUUACCUAACUAAUCACCUAAACUAAUUACCUAACUAAUUAAUCACCUAAACUAACUUUAAAAAAAAAAAAAAGAGAGAAGAAAGUUUACCUUAGAGGGAGAGCAAAGGAGUUUGGGAGGAAUGAACGAGGUAGCCUAGCUCUCGGCGUCUCAAUAUAUAGAUAACGAUUCGUCGUAAACGCGACGUAAUAUUACGACGAAGUUACCAGGCCCGCGUUUUUCCAUUUACGACGAAGCUACCAGGCCCGUGUUUUUCCAUUUACGAAC